GUACCUUUUGCAUCAUGAUCUAGCCAGUAAACCCAAGCAAAGAGAACUUUAGUCUGGGCCCCCGAAACUGGACGAGCUACUCCGAGACAGCCUAUUAUAGGGCGUAUCCGUCUCUGUUGCAAAAGAGUGGAGAGAGCUCCGAGUAGAAGUGAAAUACCUAUCGAGUCUAGUUAUAGCUGGUUGUUUAGGAAAUGAAUAGGAGUUCAGCCCCCCAGCUCUUUAAACCCAUAAGAUCCUUCUUCUUAAGGUGAAAAAGAACCAGGGGAGUUAUUCGAAGGAGGUACAGCUCCUUUGAACCAGGACACAACCUUAACAGGCGGUCAAGGAUCAUAAUUUUCAAGGUACACUGCUUCAGUGGGCUUAAGGGCAGCCAUCUGAUUAGAAAGCGUUAAAGCUCAACCAGCACACACCUCUUAUAAUGAUAACCUCUCCCCCACCCCUAAUUUUACUAAACCACCCCAUGCCCCCAUGGGAGCGACCAUGCUAGAAUGAGUAAUAAGAGGGGCCUACGCCCCUCUCCUCGCACAU
RNAcentral lists this ribosomal RNA (528 nucleotides) under Protosalanx chinensis. RNAcentral describes it as "partial 16S ribosomal RNA". It matches the Rfam family "Bacterial large subunit ribosomal RNA", at positions 601 to 1344 of the family's 2925-position model. The record is from RNAcentral. Lineage: Eukaryota; Metazoa; Chordata; Actinopteri; Osmeriformes; Salangidae.